Molecule: long non-coding RNA, 3114 nt
Organism: Oncorhynchus masou masou (cherry salmon)
Lineage: Eukaryota; Metazoa; Chordata; Actinopteri; Salmoniformes; Salmonidae
Exons: 4
Source: RefSeq, a predicted model, not a curated record
CACCUCCUCGUCUUUCCUGCAGGAAAAUACAAGCAAUUACCGUCCAUUUCUUUGGACUAAAAGAAGACUCAUCAUGCCAGAGGGUCUGUCUAAAUCUGACGAACAGACAUUUCUCGAUUUCGAAUUGACAUCUCUGUAGCAGUCACCUCCAAUGAGGAUGCAGGAAAUUGGUAUUGGAUUCUCUCUGUUGGAACUGCACCCAGCGCUGAGUAAGACAGAGGCCAUAUUGACUCCUGAUUGCCCCAGGACCUGAGCCCUAGGACCAUGCCCCAGGACUACCUGACAUGAUGACUCCUUGCUGUCCCCAGUCCACCUGGCCGUGCUGCUGCUCCAGUUUCAACUGUUCUGCCUUAUUAUUAUUCGACCAUGCUAGUCAUUUAUGAACAUUUGAACAUCUUGGCCAUGUUCUGUUAUAAUCUCCACCCGGCACAGCCAGAAGAGGACUGGCCACCCCACAUAGCCUGGUUCCUCUCUAGGUUUCUUCCUAGGUUUUGGCCUGUCUAGGGAGUUUUUCCUAGCCACCGUGCUUCUACACCUGUAUUGCUUGCUGUUUGGGGUUUUAGGCUGGGUUUCUGUAAGCACUUUGAGAUAUCAGCUGAUGUACGAAGCGCUAUAUGAAUACAUUUGAUUUGAUUUAACUGCGGUUGAACUUUUAACAGGAAAAAAAACGAUUGUUUUUUGCAGUGCUGAGCUAGUAUUGUAACUGACAUGUAACGUUUCAUUCCCUCAACUGACGUGAAUGAAUUAGCUACGUUAGCUAUUAGCUAGGACAGCCAUGUCAGCUCUAACCUCUAGCUAUCUGACAGAUAGUAAUAAUAGCCACCUCAUAUAGCUAUCUAACUAGUUGUUUGUAUAGACAUGUUUUGUAGCCUUUGUUUGGUCCCGUUUCAACAGGAGUAAAUUAACUUGGCUAGCUUUCGCCAGUUGAUGUACAGUUAGAGAGAGCUGGCCAAAAGUUGGCUAAAGUUAGCUAUUAUUUUUGCCUCAAUCACACUCGACCUGAAUCAAAUGAUGGAACCAUCAGCCAAACGAUUGAAGAGUUAUAUUCUGGCAUUUUUUCAGUACAAUGUACGUUUUUAUUAGUCAGUAUGGCAAUGUAAUGUUAUUGAUCUGUCAGUUCCCGAGCUAAUUCCCUACUUUUCACACUGACACAGUAAUAAACCGCUAUAAGGUUAAAGGAUUCACUGUCAUGGUGCACAGUAGAGGUCUGCGCAGGACCUUUUCAUACCGGAAUCCGCGUCAGCUGUUGGCUUCCUGUCUGACUCCCACCCGCUACCCCAAGAACUGGUCCCAGACCCAACUGCAGUCCCGCAAUGUUAUUUUAGGCGUAUGUGAUGCAGCUCACAUGCCAGCCAUGGUCCCAUUAAUUUUGCGCCCUAUAGGGAAUAUCAAAUGCAAAAAUUACUUAAGAAAUUGUUUAAAUUCCUAGAGAUUCUAGACUAUCUGUAUUACUGGGCUAUAUCGGCCAAAAUGCUAGAUGUAGUUUGAAGAGAGCAGAGUAUGAAAGACUUCCACAUUCUCUUGAGUUAUUUUCAUAGUUCCCUUUUAGGAGUGGGAAGAUUUUCAGACUGAGAAAUAUGGGUGACCAAUAUUUAGGCCUAUUUCGAGGCAACAUAGUAAGCUAUAUAGGAAGUACAUUUCCUUGGAAAGAUAACUGCCCGUGCUUCUCCGCCCAUGUAUAGGAUAUAGCCUACUCUAUUUAAUUGAGACCACACCUGAUCUCACAGGUAUGUCUACUGAACGGGAUGCAGCAAGAAUGAUGACAGCGACAUUUACUAUAUUUUUCAUAGGCUUAUAUGAUAUAGCCUAGCUUUUAGGAGGACAAUUUGCAGGCAGAGACAAAUAAAUGGUUAAUAAAUCAUUAUUGAAAAUGAAAAGGUGCAACGCUCGCUCACCAUUGUAGCCUAACUAAUGUGCGAGUUGUGCCUUUUCUUUUUCAAUGAUGAUUCCAUUUUUUGAUUGCACGGCGACUCACAUUGGUUGAGCACCCUCCUUUACUCCAUUAUCAAGCCUAUUUAUUUACAGACAAUUUAGCAAACUACAGUCUAAUCAUAUUUAAGUUAAUUUCAUAUUUAAAUUACCUGCCACGUAAUUCCCCACCCACGUUUGCAGCCUACUCUAUUUCAAUGAGACCACACAUACUAAGCGUACUUGAACUCUCAUUAUCAACUAGGAGAGGUAGGCCACUUAAGGAUGGCAGGACCUUAAAGCAGCGAAUUCUGUGUGUGUGAAUAAUGCGAAAAAUGUGCUUUUAAUACAAUAAGUAGGCUAACGCAUACAAAGCAGAAAGAGGACCGUUUCCAAAUAAUCGGUGGAUACAAAAAUGCUUUCAUCCAAAAGUCAUCCGUCUGACCGCCCACAGAAUGAAAAAUGCAGACCGUGCCGCAAUGAUUUCUGUCGGGGCCCGCAGGUCCCGUGGGAUGGCAGACCUUGAGUGCACAGUCAGUACACAACACUGCUCACCAUGUCUUAGUAGGAUCAGAUGGUGACAGGGGUCCCAGCAGGGUCACACAGCCAGGGAAGAAGUCUACAGAGCUCGGGUGAAUUUCGCAGUAUAUUAACAAUAUCAGUGAAUGAUACAAAGUUCCAUCUUAUAUUGAUGGGCAUAGCUACAGAACAGCAGUUUAAGCUUAAAGCUACAGUCUAGGAUCUGGGAAUAAUGGUAAUUUCCAUUAUUGGACCAUUAUUCUAUUCUUGGAUAAUAUACUGUAUAAAUGUACACUAAGGUAAUUCUUUGUCAUGCUUCAUCUUUUAUUGAUUUAUUUUUACCUUUAUUUAACUAGGCAAGUCAGUCAAGAGCACGGAUCAGAUGGUGACAGGGGUCUCAGCAGGGUCAGGCAGCCAGGGAAGACCAGUUUGUGAUGGAGCGGAGAUGAAUUUUAAACCAAUAGUCUAACAACCAAUACAGACUUUUGAUUGUUUUUCUUAAGACAUCCUCAAUAUCAAAUUUCAGCCAGCCCAAGCAGCCUGCACACCCAAACCACACCAGUCUAACUCAACUCUCUCCCAACACAAUUUCCUUCCCAGUUCCCACCAUUCAUUUUUUUCAAUUCCCAAGGAAAAUGUUUGGAAAUAAAAUAUUGACCUAGUUCAGUCUUAAACAUAUUUUAUUUA